RNAcentral lists this ribosomal RNA (506 nucleotides) under uncultured bacterium. RNAcentral describes it as "partial 16S ribosomal RNA". It matches the Rfam family "Bacterial small subunit ribosomal RNA", at positions 28 to 523 of the family's 1533-position model. The record is from RNAcentral.
GAUGAACGCUAGCUACAGGCUUAACACAUGCAAGUCGAGGGGUAACAAGAGAAAAGCUUGCUUUUCUUGUUGACGACCGGCGCACGGGUGAGUAACGCGUAUCCAACCUGCCUAUAACUAGGGAAUAACCUUGCGAAAGUAAGACUAAUACCCUAUGAUUUCCUUCGAUGACAUCAGAUUGGGAAUAAAGAUUUAUCGGUUAUAGAUGGGGAUGCGUCUGAUUAGCUUGUUGGCGGGGUAACGGCCCACCAAGGCAACGAUCAGUAGGGGUUCUGAGAGGAAGGUCCCCCACAUUGGAACUGAGACGCGGUCCAAACUCCUACGGGAGGCAGCAGUGAGGAAUAUUGGUCAAUGGGCGGAAGCCUGAACCAGCCAAGUAGCGUGCAGGAUGACGGCCCUAUGGGUUGUAAACUGCUUUUAUACAGGAAUAAAGUUAGCCACGUGUGGUUAUUUGUAGGUACUGUAUGAAUAAGGACCGGCUAAUUCCGUGCCAGCCGCCGCGGUAA